Molecule: ribosomal RNA, 123 nt
Organism: Cercocebus atys (sooty mangabey)
Lineage: Eukaryota; Metazoa; Chordata; Mammalia; Primates; Cercopithecidae
Source: Ensembl
GUCUAUGGUCAUACCACCUUGAACGUGCCCGAUCUCAUCUGAUCUCAGAAGAAUAAAGCACUUAGCACAGUACCAGUCACAUAAUUGCUUCCAUGAGGAAAGACCUGAACUGAACAAUAGAUA